RNAcentral lists this ribosomal RNA (253 nucleotides) under uncultured bacterium. RNAcentral describes it as "partial 16S ribosomal RNA". It matches the Rfam family "Bacterial small subunit ribosomal RNA", at positions 524 to 776 of the family's 1533-position model. The record is from RNAcentral.
UACGGAGGUGGCAAGCGUUAUCCGGAAUCACUGGGCGUAAAGGGCACGCAGGCGGUUAUUCAAGUUCGGCGUGAAAGCUCCCGGCUUAACUGGGAGAGGUCGUUGAAAACUGAAUGACUUGAGGCAAUGAGAGGGAUGCGGAAUUCCUGGUGUAGUGGUGGAAUGCGUAGAUAUCAGGAGGAACGCCAGAGGCGAAAGCGGCAUCCUGGCAUUGACCUGACGCUCAUGUGCGAAAGCGUGGGUAGCGAACGGG